Molecule: long non-coding RNA, 778 nt
Filed under: Pan troglodytes (chimpanzee)
Lineage: Eukaryota; Metazoa; Chordata; Mammalia; Primates; Hominidae
Description: long non-coding RNA NONPTRT008315
Source: RNAcentral
CACAGAUGCAUACACACACACACACACAGAGAUGCAUACACACACCACAUACACACGCACAGAUGCAUACACACACAUAUAUGCAGACAAGACACAUACACACACCACACACUACACACACACACGCACAGAUGCAUACACACACCACAUACGCACACAUAUACGCAGACAAGACGCAUGCAAAUACCACACACACACGCAUAGAUGCAUGCACACACCACACACUACACACAAGGCACGCACAACACACCACACACACAUGCACAGAUGCAUACACACCAGACACUACACACACAAUGCAUGCACAACACACACUAUGCACACAGAUGCAUACACACACCACACACGCACACACACGCAGACGACACAUGUGCACCACACAUAGAUGCAUGCACAUACCACACACAUCACACGCAAUGCAUGCAAAACACACUACACACACACGCAGACAAGACGCAUGCACACCACACACACAGAUGCAUGCACACCACACACACAGAUGCAUGCACACACCACACACUACACACACAGAUGCAUGCACACACCACACACUACACACACAUACACACAAUGCAUGCACACCACACACACUACAUACAUACAGAUGCACACACCACACACUACACACACAAUGCAAUAAUUCAUGCACACCAUAUACACUACGCACACACACAUACUGCAUGCAUACCAUACACACACACACUCGCACGCACAGGCCCAUGCACACGCCACACACAGACGCGUGCUCACAAAAGCCCGCCAUGACGCUGUCCCUGGU